CGCGUUCGGCGCUGUCCGCCAUUGUGCCGUCCACACAGUUCGUCACCCGAAUCACCGCGCCGUGCGUCCCUGGCAAUAUCGCCGUAUUAUCGCGUUUAAACUGUCCCGAAAAGCCGACAAAAUAAGUAAAAUAUCUGUAAUAAUGGCCGACAGAUCGAGCAAUGGUGAAUAUAAGUAUCAGCGGGAGGACAGCAGCGAGAGCAAGCCGAGGAUACCGCUCGAGAAGGAGCGCGAGGAGAAGGACCAUCAGGCCGACAAGGCCGGGGAAUACGUCAGGGAGCUGCUGCAGGAGAAGUUGGAGCUCGAUGGAUCCAAGUGGCCCAACGCCCAUCGACUCAUCGAUCAAGAAAUUCAAAAGACACAAGCUAUUGGGAAACCGUUGAGAGACCCGAAGUACGUUGACAUUUAUCGAGAAAAACCGAUAAGGGUAGCGGUCAAGGUCCUGGUGCCUGUUCGUGAGCAUCCAAAGCAGUUCAACUUUGUCGGGAAAUUGCUGGGCCCCAAAGGAAACUCGAUGAAACGUCUACAGGAAGAAACAAUGUGCAAGAUGGCAGUUUUGGGACGCGGCUCAAUGAAGGACAGACAAAAGGAGGAGGAAUGUCGCCAAUCGCUGGACCCGAAAUACGCCCAUCUCUCGGACGAUCUUCACGUUGAAAUUGCGGCUCUCGCACCCCCGGCGGAAGCUCAUGCUCGGAUCGCCUUCGCCCUGGCCGAAGUCCGGAAGUAUCUUAUCCCGGACAACAACGACAACAUCCGACAGGAACAGAUGCGCGAAAUGGAGUUAACCAUGGCCGACGAUCCGUCUGCUGGCGAAGAAAGGCGACCUUCGGCGAGGGGUGGUGGAAUCCUGAGACCCAGCAGCCGGCCGACGGUUCCAAGGUCAUCCAGGGCAGCCAUUCUGCCGCCGCCGUCGAGCCGGGGGCCGAUAACGCGUCCAGUGCCGGCGAAGACCAAAGUCUUCUCGAUACUGGAUCGUGCCAGAGUUGCGAUGGACCAGAGUUACGGAACCUCUUCCCGUAGGUACGAGGCGCCCACUCCACCGCCUAGCAGCCGGGUCGCGUCUCAUCACGAUUACGACUAUCAUCCGUCUUCUUCAUCGAGCAGCCGUUACGCCGAUCGCCAUUACACCUCGUCCUCCGCGGAUGAUCUGUAUCCUUCAUCGAGAUAUACAACGUAUGAAUACGAGGAUGACGCUGUGCCUCAUUCAUCGCAUGAUUAUUACGAAUCAUCGGAGUAUCCAGGUGUAUAGAAGAUCCUUGAUCGCGUGGGAACGCGUACUUGCCGAAAAAAAAACUUCAAAAGUUUUUGGUCUCUGAGGCGUCGGACCAUGAAGUGCCUUAAUGUCGAAGAUUCAUGGGGAACCAACACACAUGGACACGUCUCGCGCGGACGUGUGAUGUUUUACAUUAUAAGCAAAAACGGUGCAGACGCUACUGCAACGUUAAUAUAUAUGUGAUGACUUAUUUAAUGAUAAUAUAUUUAAAAAAAAAUUAAUAAAUCGUUGUGACAUUAUAUUUAUACGAAUAUA
RNAcentral lists this unclassified non-coding RNA (1528 nucleotides) under Neodiprion pinetum (white pine sawfly). RNAcentral describes it as "kH domain-containing, RNA-binding, signal transduction-associated protein 2-like, transcript variant X8". Lineage: Eukaryota; Metazoa; Arthropoda; Insecta; Hymenoptera; Diprionidae. The record is from RNAcentral.